RNAcentral lists this ribosomal RNA (1423 nucleotides) under metagenome. RNAcentral describes it as "bacterial LSU rRNA". It matches the Rfam family "Bacterial large subunit ribosomal RNA", at positions 1522 to 2925 of the family's 2925-position model. The record is from RNAcentral.
CUCAUGAUUCUUAGGCAAAUCCGGGAAUCUCUAUGCCGAGCACCGAGACGAGUCCUAUGAGGACGAAGUGACUGACACCACGCUUCCAGGAAAAGCCACUAAGCUUCAGCUGUAGAAAAACCGUACCGCAAACCGACACAGGUAGGCAGGGUGAGAAUCCCAAGGCGCUUGAGAGAACUCGGGUGAAGGAACUAGGCAAAAUGGCACCGUAACUUCGGGAGAAGGUGCGCCUCUUGGUGUGGUCACGUGCGUGACUGAGCAUCGAGGGGUCGCAGUAACCUGGCCGCUGCGACUGUUUAUCAAAAACACAGCACUCUGCAAACACGAAAGUGGACGUAUAGGGUGUGACGCCUGCCCGGUGCUGGAAGGUUAAUUGAUGGGGUCAGCCGCAAGGCGAAGCUCUUGAUCGAAGCCCCAGUAAACGGCGGCCGUAACGAUAACGGUCCUAAGGUAGCGAAAUUCCUUGUCGGGUAAGUUCCGACCUGCACGAAUGGCGUAACGACAGCGGCGCUGUCUCCACCCGAGACUCAGUGAAAUUGAAAUCGCUGUGAAGAUGCAGCGUUCCCGCGGCAAGACGGAAAGACCCCGUGAACCUUUACUAUAGCUUUACACUGAACGUUGAGUUCUUCUGUGUAGGAUAGGUGGGAGGCUAUGAAACCAGGACGCUAGUUCUGGUGGAGCCAUCCUUGAAAUACCACCCUGAAGUGCUUGACGUUCUAACCUAGGUCCGUAAUCCGGAUCGGGGACCGUGUAUGGUGGGUAGUUUGACUGGGGCGGUCUCCUCCCAAAGAGUAACGGAGGAGCACGAAGGUACGCUCAGCGCGGUCGGACAUCGCGCACUGUGUGCAAAGGCAUAAGCGUGCUUGACUGCGAGAUCGACGGAUCAAGCAGGUACGAAAGUAGGUCUUAGUGAUCCGGUGGUUCUGUAUGGAAGGGCCAUCGCUCAACGGAUAAAAGGUACUCCGGGGAUAACAGGCUGAUACCGUCCAAGAGUUCAUAUCGACGGCGGUGUUUGGCACCUCGAUGUCGGCUCAUCACAUCCUGGGGCUGUAGCCGGUCCCAAGGGUAUGGCUGUUCGCCAUUUAAAGUGGUACGCGAGCUGGGUUCAGAACGUCGUGAGACAGUUCGGUCCCUAUCUGUCGUGGGCGUUGGAGAUUUGAGGGGGGCUGCUCCUAGUACGAGAGGACCGGAGUGGACGUUCCGCUGGUGUUCGGGUUGUCAUGCCCAUGGCAUUGCCCGGUAGCUACGAACGGAAGUGAUAACCGCUGAAAGCAUCUAAGCGGGAAGCACGCCCCAAGAUGAGAUCUCCCGAGAGCUUGACUCUCCUAAAGGCACCAUCAAGACUAGGUGGUUGAUAGGCACGGUGUGGAAGUGCAGCAAUGCAUUGAGCUUACGUGUACUAAUGAGCCGUGAGGCUUGACCG